RNAcentral lists this ribosomal RNA (368 nucleotides) under uncultured organism. Its description in RNAcentral is "bacterial SSU rRNA". It matches the Rfam family "Bacterial small subunit ribosomal RNA", at positions 526 to 896 of the family's 1533-position model. The record is from RNAcentral.
CGUAGGUGGCAAGCGUUGUCCGGAUUUAUUGGGUUUAAAGGGUGCGUAGGCGGUCUUAUAAGUCAGUGCUGAAAUAUCCCGGCUUAACCGGGAGGGUGGCAUUGAUACUGUAGGACUUGAGUAAAGUUGAGGUUGGCGGAAUUGACGGUGUAGCGGUGAAAUGCUUAGAUAUCGUCGAGAACACCGAUAGUGUAGACAGCUAACUAAGCUUUAACUGACGCUGAGGCACGAAAGUGUGGGGAUCAAACAGGAUUAGAUACCCUGGUAGUCCACACUGUAAACGUUGAAGACUCGCUGUUGGCGAUACACAGUCAGCGGCUGAGAGAAAUCGUUAAGUCUUCCACCUGGGGAGUACGCCGGCAACGGUG